AGUGAACGCUGGCGGUAGGCCUAACACAUGCAAGUCGAACGGCAGCACAGUAAGAGCUUGCUCUUACGGGUGGCGAGUGGCGGACGGGUGAGGAAUACAUCGGAAUCUACUUUUUCGUGGGGGAUAACGGAGGGAAACUUACGCUAAUACCGCAUACGACCUACGGGUGAAAGCAGGGGAUCUUCGGACCUUUCGCGAUUGAAUGAGCCGAUGUCGGAUUAGCUAGUUGGCGGGGUAAAGGCCCACCAAGGCGACGAUCCGUAGCUGGUCUGAGAGGAUGAUCAGCCACACUGGAACUGAGACACGGUCCAGACUCCUACGGGAGGCAGCAGUGGGGAAUAUUGGACAAUGGGCGCAAGCCUGAUCCAGCCAUACCGCGUGGGUGAAGAAGGCCUUCGGGUUGUAAAGCCCUUUUGUUGGGAAAGAAAAGCAGCAGGUUAAUACCCCGCUGUUCUGACGGUACCCAAAGAAUAAGCACCGGCUAACUUCGUG
This 492-nucleotide ribosomal RNA is filed under the name uncultured bacterium. Its description in RNAcentral is "partial 16S ribosomal RNA". It matches the Rfam family "Bacterial small subunit ribosomal RNA", at positions 29 to 507 of the family's 1533-position model. The record is from RNAcentral.